UGAACUAGAAAGAGAUCCACUCUAAUUUCACAAGAUAAAACAAAAUAAUUUAUUAUAAUCAAAGAAGUCUGUUUCCCAAGAGAGGUUUGGAGUGGCCAGAGAUCAUGUACUUCUUAUAGUCCAAGUCAACUAAUUAAGUAAUAUUAUAUUUCUAGUAAUUUUGUGGUCUCAUACUACUAAAAGUUCACUAGUUUCCUGGUGGCUGUGGGUCACCGACUUGAACUACCGAUUCACAGUACUGCAUGCCAUUAAACAAAAAUAAAACAAAGAGAACUGGUAUACUGAAUACAAAUGGCAUAUAUGGAAAUUUUCCGACUCCAGCUUUAUUCUCAGUGACAUGCUAUGCAUCUAACGUGAUUUCUGUUGAUAAGCUGGUGUUCAAAGUUUGGUCAGAUUAUUCUACUUCACCUCUCAAUGAGAAUCAUGCAAUUUAUUUGGAAUUACAAGGAUUAUUUAGAUUUUACCCUUGUAGCUUUGGUAGUUUAUUUAUAAUCGUCACUGGGCUAUCAUUAGCCUAAUAAACUCUCCUUUA
This 532-nucleotide long non-coding RNA is filed under the name Phoenix dactylifera (date palm). Its description in RNAcentral is "long non-coding RNA (PDAC_LNC022376)". Lineage: Eukaryota; Viridiplantae; Streptophyta; Magnoliopsida; Arecales; Arecaceae. The record is from RNAcentral.